CUACGGGGUGCAGCAGUGGGGAAUAUUGCACAAUGGGCGCAAGCCUGAUGCAGCCAUGCCGCGUGUAUGAAGAAGGCCUUCGGGUUGUAAAGUACUUUCAGCGGGGAGGAAAGGAGUAAAGUUAAUACCUUUGCUCAUUGACGUUACCCGCAGAAGAAGCACCGGCUAACUCCGUGCCAGCAGCCGCGGUAAUACGGAGGGUGCAAGCGUUAAUCGGAAUUACUGGGCGUAAAGCGCACGCAGGCGGUUUGUUAAGUCAGAUGUGAAAUCCCCGGGCUCAACCUGGGAACUGCAUCUGAUACUGGCAAGCUUGAGUCUCGUAGAGGGGGGUAGAAUUCCAGGUAUAGCGGUGAAAUGCGUAGAGAUCUGGAGGAAUACCGGUGGCGAAGGCGGCCCCCUGGACGAAGACUGACGCUCAGGUGCGAAAGCGUGGGGAGCAAACAGGAUUAGAUACCCCAGUAGUC
This 464-nucleotide ribosomal RNA is filed under the name uncultured bacterium. Its description in RNAcentral is "partial 16S ribosomal RNA". It matches the Rfam family "Bacterial small subunit ribosomal RNA", at positions 339 to 795 of the family's 1533-position model. The record is from RNAcentral.